GACGAACGCUGGCGGCGUGCUUAACACAUGCAAGUCGAACGAAGCGCCUCUGCUUAUUUUUCGGACUAAAGUUUCGUGAGUGUGUGGCGGACGUGUGUGUACUGCCCUGGUCAUUUGGAUUGUUUCAGGGGAUUAGAGCUAGUACCGGCUGGUAAUUCCUCCUACGUGGUGGGGGAGGGAACUUUUUGGCUGAAAAAGUUCGGCUGGACAGGUUUGGCCUGCGUCUGGUUAGCUGGUUGGCAGGGGAACGGGCUAACAAGGCAGCGAUCAGUGGCCGGUCUGAGAAGAUGAACCGCCACAUUUGAACUGAGACACGGUCCAAACUCCGACGGGAGGCAGCAGUGGGGAAUAUUGCACAAUGGGGGAAACCCUGAUGCAGCAACGCCGCGUGAGUGAAGAAGUAUUUCGGUAUGUAAAGCUCUAUCAGCAGGGAAGAUAAUGACGGUACCUGACAAAGAAGCACCGGCUAAAUACGUG
Molecule: ribosomal RNA, 477 nt
Filed under: uncultured bacterium
Lineage: Bacteria
Description: partial 16S ribosomal RNA
Rfam family: Bacterial small subunit ribosomal RNA
Source: RNAcentral